UACGUAGGGUGCGAGCGUUGUCCGGAAUUAUUGGGCGUAAAGAGCUCGUAGGCGGCUUGUCGCGUCGGAUGUGAAAGCCCGGGGCUCAACCCCGGGCCUGCAUUCGAUACGGGCAGACUAGAGUUCGGUAGGGGAGUCUGGAAUUCCUGGUGUAGCGGUGAAAUGCGCAGAUAUCAGGAGGAACACCGGUGGCGAAGGCGGGACUCUGGGCCGAUACUGACGCUGAGGAGCGAAAGCGUGGGGAGCAAACAGG
RNAcentral lists this ribosomal RNA (253 nucleotides) under uncultured bacterium. Its description in RNAcentral is "partial 16S ribosomal RNA". It matches the Rfam family "Bacterial small subunit ribosomal RNA", at positions 524 to 776 of the family's 1533-position model. The record is from RNAcentral.